GGGAAGUCAGAGCUCGGAACAACUUAGGCUCAAAUGAAAGAGUAUUGUAUUAUUACUUUGCAUACCAAGUCUAAAAUCUUUACGUUAAAUACAACUCGAGAAAUAAAGCAAUGAAACUGCGUUAUUUUGCAAAUAUAAAUGUACAUCCGAGCGAACCUGCGAUCAAGCAGCGGAAUUACAUCGUUACGUCACUGCGCGACUCUGUAAUCGAGCAAUUUCGAAGAGAAUAGAAUAGAUAUUUUGUCUGUCAAUUUUAAAGUCUUCUAGGUAAAUGGCGUAUUUAAACGAUUCUUCGAGCGAUAUUUUAACCUGUUCUAACUUAAAAGAUGGUAAAGAAAUUUCAAAGAUAAAUGGAGGGUUUAAAUAUUAUACUUUUGAACUGGUUAAUGAAACGGGGACAUAUUUUUCUGACAUGCUAAGACGAAAGCAGAAAAUAUGUGUAUUGAAGAUUCUAAUUCAGAGUUUUAACGACACCACAAUUUUCGAGACAUUGUCAAUGACUGGGAAGACAAUCUUAUUUUGAACUUCAUAAAACUGAUCUUUAUUUACAAAGUUUAAAUUAAUUGCAUUUGCAAAUUGCUUGGUGGCUUCAUAGGUUCCUCCAGUCAUGAUAGUUGCAGCAGGAAUUAAAAUAUUACCUGCUGGUUUAUUGUGCAAAUAUGGUUGAGACUUCCACUGUUCCUCACCUUCAGAUUCCUCAUCUGUAUCUAGUUCCUCAAGAUAGGUAUAAUCAUCAUCACUAUCUGAUGCAGCAAUAUCAUCACUGCUUCCUAAAGAGAUUUCUGAAUCAGAUGAUAUAAUAGGAGUUGUUAUGAUAGGAGUUGUUGUGUUAGGAGUUGUGGGAGAUGUUACUGGUUUUGGUGUACGACUUGAAGAAACUGCAUUUAAAGAGGGGGCAACAUUUUUUGAAGCGUUUUUAUUUUUUAAUGGUUUCCUUUUUCUUUGUGCAAGAGUUUGUAUGGCAACUGUCCUUUGUCUUGGUGUAUCACACUGUGCUUCUGCAUCAAUGAAAACUUUUGGCUCACAUUGAAUCUGGGCAUCCUUGGACAAUGGACUGGGAGGCUGAUCUUCAAUGCAUGUUGCAAGAUUUGUAUCUUCAUCUAGUGAUUGUAUUAUGCUUCUAACUUCCUACAAAAUAGUCAAACUUCUCAACCAAGAGAGUACAAAGCUAAUUGUUUAAAGAACAGUUCAAUAACUUCAAAUAUAUUCUAUAUGGUUGCAAUAUCCUAUUUA
Long non-coding RNA from Xenia sp. Carnegie-2017, 1233 nucleotides. RefSeq lists it as uncharacterized. The transcript has 3 exons. NCBI's taxonomy places the organism in Eukaryota, Metazoa, Cnidaria, Anthozoa, Malacalcyonacea, Xeniidae. The record is from RefSeq and is a predicted model, not a curated record.